UUGAUUCUUGAAUUUCUAUCUACAUUAAGGUGGUGACGAGGAAAUUGGAAGAGCUUAUCGACCAGCUUAGGUUCAGCUUGUGUUAUAUAGUAGCUGAGUUAAACACUAUUGGGCCAGUUGAUCUAUCAAGUUGAGCCAUAGAUUGUCAAGCAUUGUAUGAAUUAUCUUUUCAGUUUAAGAGUUCAUAUUUUGGGAUAGACACCUCUUUUGGUCAUAAAUUAGUUCCAUGUGUUGGGCUUGCUAUGUUUUGUAUAUAUAUUAUGCAUUUUGGGUACUGUGGUUUAGAAAUUGUUGCAAAAGUCGAAUUGCCAGUGUUGUAUUUGAAUAGUUGAUAUUUUGAGGGGCCGGUGUACCCUAUUUCAAAUGAUAUGUACAUGUUUAGGAUAUUUGAUUUUAUUUUCAGGUAGUUUUAGUCUAUUUUUCAGAAGGAACUCUGCCGAAAUUUUUAUAAAAUUAUAACAGUCAAAGCAUGUCAAGUUUGCCUUGGUGGUGGGUCCGGCACUUUGCUGGUAUCUACCAUCGGCGCACGACACGUGUCGGAUCCAUUAGGGUGAUCGGAACGGGUCGUGUCAAUUUAUACAGAAGAGGAGUUGGGCAUUGGGAAGCUAGAUGCUGGAGGUACCCGUCUAUGCCCAUUCAACUGUGACUGUUGUUUUUAAUGAAAUUAGUUUCUAGUGUCGAUUGGUAUUUCAAAUGCUUUCCUUAUUAACAUAUUUUUGGAGUACUUGAUGAACUAAUUCCUUGUUCAACUGAUGUUAUGGGAGGGUAAUAUGGAUUUCAAGAAAAAAAAGGUACUUUUGUUUUCAGAAUCCGAGUUUCACUUUUAUCUUGAAGAUUCCACCUGCUUCGGUCUUGCUGCUGAAAGUUGCAGGGAUGAUCGGGAUUGGACUCAGCUUCAUACCUGUGCUUGGAGCGAUCAGAAGGAGAAUGCUCUACCCAUGUCAAAUAAAGCAUAGGGAGACAGCUGGAAGGGAAAAGACAAGGAACAAGAGUAAAGAAUUUACAAGUCUUGUGGGAGAAGAAUGGUUGAGACGUUGACUGCCUUCGAUACUGAAAAAAUAACCCAAGCGGUCUACCCCCUUGGCGAAUCCCAACUGAAAGCACUAUAUGAACUAAUGACAAGCGAGAUAAAGAAAGCCGUUGGCCUUGUGUGUAAACCUUUUUGCGGAAUCCUUUGCUUGUUAUGAUUGUUUAUGAUUGUGGGAGGGAUUUGAGUGUAGUAUGAUGUGAACGUGUGAAAGUCAUGAAG
Long non-coding RNA from Olea europaea var. sylvestris, 1249 nucleotides. RefSeq lists it as uncharacterized. NCBI's taxonomy places the organism in Eukaryota, Viridiplantae, Streptophyta, Magnoliopsida, Lamiales, Oleaceae. The record is from RefSeq and is a predicted model, not a curated record. The transcript is spliced from 5 exons.